This 715-nucleotide long non-coding RNA is filed under the name Heterocephalus glaber (naked mole-rat). Its description in RNAcentral is "lncRNA (ENSHGLG00100035556.1)". The record is from RNAcentral. Lineage: Eukaryota; Metazoa; Chordata; Mammalia; Rodentia; Bathyergidae.
GGUGAGCAGCUUUGCUCUGCCACGCUCCAUGAUGUCUUGCCGCACCCCAAGACCCAGACAACCCAGCCGAGCAACCAUGGACUCUGGAAUUGAUGGAGCCCCAAGCAAGGCAGCAGCCAGCUGGGACAACGGGAAGGCCUGCCCUCUCCUGCCUCGGUCCCUCGGGCUACAUAAACACAUGGAGGGCCAGGGGGCCGUGGGUGCCAGACACCCAGAGUCAAGGCCUGGGAGAAAGCUUGUGGAAGUCUGCACAGAGCUCCAGCAAGCACGGUGACCAUCCUAGCCGAGAGUGGGGGCCCAUGGGUGGAAUCACAGAGCCUUUAACCCUGAGGACGCUGGAGCCAGAGCAGAAGGUGAGCAGGGUCAUAAAAGCUCCACCCACAGUUCCUGAGAGGAGGCAGGAGCUGUGAAAAUGCUCGGCUCGUCCCCAGGCACGGACAUCCUGGUGAGGUGGGCCAUUGGUCUCCAGCUAGAUCCCAAGGCAAGAGAACCCAGGAGAGGGAGGAAAAGGGUUUGGUCCAGGGAAGCAGCUGAACCCCCCAAAAGAAAUGCACACAGAGCAUAGGGUGACAGGGAGCAGAUGCUGAGGAGACUGUUUGAAAUGGCCUGUCCAUCUCAGAAUGUCACCCAAGCAGGUGCAGCACGGGAAACAAGCGUGUGGCCCUGGGUUCAAAGCUGGGCCCAGCCCCUUCCAGUCAUGUGACCUUUGAGUUUG